GAAAAACAAAAUAAAGAAAAAUUCCGACAACUAUGAAUUUAAAUGCUGAAACAGAAAUCCGGAAUUAAUGCAUUGCUGCACAUUUUCAUUUCACUUUCUCAAUUGGGAUUCUAUAUUUCAAUGAAAAAGAAAUUGUACCUGAAAAUGUUUAUAAUGGGAGAAAAGGAAGAUCAACAGCAGCAAUACAACAAUAGUUGCAACAGCAGACAACCAGUCCGGUUCAAACCAACAGCAACACCCUAAUUCAAACCAGAAACAACCCAAACCGGGUAUGGAGUGACUUGUAAAACAUAACAUAAAUAACCAACACCCAAUAGACUGGACUGAACAUGAACCACACCAGAAAUGGAUCAACAGAUAUCAGAAGAAGUUCUAGGGAAUUGAACUUAGACUGAUUAAACUCUCCAAUUUUCAGGAUCUCCAAACUGAUUGUUUCUUUAUCAAAGACUUAUACUAUUCUCAAAUAUGACCUCUAAAAGAUGAUUUCAAAAAGCCUCCCCUUUAAUGCCUCAAAAAUGUUCAAGCCCUUUCAAAGUCUAUCGUCAGAAUCUAUGUUUUUGACUCUCCACUCUUAUUGCCCCUUCCAGUCCCUCUUUAUGUCUCUACUCAUCUCUAUAUUUAAACCCAAGCUCUUCAACCCUUUUCAGCUC
This 650-nucleotide long non-coding RNA is filed under the name Nicotiana benthamiana. Its description in RNAcentral is "long non-coding RNA (NBEN_LNC015692)". Lineage: Eukaryota; Viridiplantae; Streptophyta; Magnoliopsida; Solanales; Solanaceae. The record is from RNAcentral.